UACGGAGGGGGCUAGCGUUGUUCGGAAUUACUGGGCGUAAAGGGCGCGUAGGCGGCCUUCUAAGUCGAACGUGAAAUCCCUGGGCUCAACCCAGGAACUGCGUCCGAUACUGGGAGGCUUGAAUCCGGGAGAGGGAUGCAGAAUUCCAGGUGUAGCGGUGAAAUGCGUAGAUAUCUGGAGGAAUACCGGUGGCGAAGGCGGCAUCCUGGACCGGCAUUGACGCUGAGGAGCGAAAGCUAGGGGAGCAAACGGG
This 253-nucleotide ribosomal RNA is filed under the name uncultured bacterium. RNAcentral describes it as "partial 16S ribosomal RNA". It matches the Rfam family "Bacterial small subunit ribosomal RNA", at positions 524 to 776 of the family's 1533-position model. The record is from RNAcentral.